This 270-nucleotide ribosomal RNA is filed under the name unidentified soil organism R6-119. Its description in RNAcentral is "partial 16S ribosomal RNA". It matches the Rfam family "Bacterial small subunit ribosomal RNA", at positions 505 to 775 of the family's 1533-position model. The record is from RNAcentral.
GUGCCAGCCGCCGCGGUAAUACGGGGGGGGCAAGCGUUGUUCGGAAUUACUGGGCGUAAAGGGCGCGUAGGCGGUUUGCUAAGUCGGAUGUGAAAACUCUGGGCUCAACCCAGAGCCUGCAUCCGAAACUGGCAGGCUAGAGUCUGGAGGGGGUAGCGGAAUUCCNGGUGUAGCGGNGAAAUGCGUNGAUAUCAGGAGGAACANCCNUGGCGAAGGCGGNUACCUGGACAGAAACUGACGCUGAGGCGCGAAAGCUAGGGGAGCAAACAG